Molecule: long non-coding RNA, 296 nt
Filed under: Physcomitrium patens
Lineage: Eukaryota; Viridiplantae; Streptophyta; Bryopsida; Funariales; Funariaceae
Description: long non-coding RNA (PPAT_LNC008734)
Source: RNAcentral
UAAAAUAUAUUCAUAACUAUGAUUGUCAUUUUACUUACUCUAGACCAAUCUAAUCAAAAUAAACUUGAAUAGGAGGAUUCAACUAUGGAGAAAGACUAUCCACAUCAAUUUUCAUGUUAAGAUCAUACAAGUAACUGUCUCUUGAUCAACUAAAACACCCAAGAAAGCUACAAUGCCUUCCACAUUCUAUGAAAUAAAAUAUUAUAAUCAAUAAUUCUAUCUUAUGCAUUCAUUGUCUCUUCUUUUCUCCACACUUAUGACAACAAUGGAUAAUAUUGGACUAUCGUAAAAGAUUG